UAUUAUUAUGGGUAUUGACUAUUAUCACUAUUGAUUGUUUAUCAUUAAUAUAGUUAUUAUUGCUAUUAUUUGUCUAUUAUUAUGAUUAAUGUCAUUAUUAUUAUUUGAUUACUAUUGAUAUUAUUAUUGAUAUUAUUAUUUGUUUAUUUAUUAUUAUUAUUUCCAUUAUUACUAUUAUUAUUAUUAUUCAUCUUUUUUUUAUUAACUAUUAUCAUUACUAUAUUUAUUGAUUAUUAUUAUUAAUUUAUUGUUAUUAUUUAG
This 261-nucleotide long non-coding RNA is filed under the name Lathyrus oleraceus (garden pea). Its description in RNAcentral is "Pisum sativum (pea) long non-coding RNA (PSAT_LNC032632)". Lineage: Eukaryota; Viridiplantae; Streptophyta; Magnoliopsida; Fabales; Fabaceae. The record is from RNAcentral.